GGGGGCGAUCUGGUUUCGACGGGAGGGACUGACGACUGAGUUGCGCGUCGGGGACGCCACUUGGCCCCGUUAACAAUGUGGCAAAACACACCAGCCGACACUGAGCUGGCUCUCGCUGCUUAAACGCUAGCGAGCGUCUCGCCUCUCCUUGUUCGCAGGAGGGGGUCGAGAUGCCAUUAAGCGGACUAGCCCUCGAACUCUUCGGUCCGUAGGGGGCGUGGGCGAAAUUUAAUCGGACUAGCCCGGAGAAGAGCCUCGCCGGUGGGCGCGAGCCCGGGCGAAACUUAAACCGCCGGACACACGCGUAGACGCUCAAGUUUGAAGCCUUUCGGACGCGGGUUCGAUUCCCGCCGCCUCCACCA
Molecule: transfer-messenger RNA, 362 nt
Filed under: bacterium
Lineage: Bacteria
Also listed under: 2 other names
Description: UBA8248 sp018669005 Standard tmRNA
Rfam family: transfer-messenger RNA
About the family: Bacterial tmRNA, also known as 10Sa RNA or SsrA, is named for its dual tRNA and mRNA-like properties. Its role is to liberate the mRNA from a stalled ribosome.
Source: RNAcentral